Molecule: ribosomal RNA, 253 nt
Filed under: uncultured bacterium
Lineage: Bacteria
Description: partial 16S ribosomal RNA
Rfam family: Bacterial small subunit ribosomal RNA
Source: RNAcentral
UACAUGGGGUGCAAACGUUGCUCGGAAUUACUGGGCGUAAAGGGUGUGUAGGCGGUUCUCUAAGUUUGGUGUGAAAUCUCCCGGCUCAACCGGGAGGGUGCGCCGAAAACUGGAGGGCUAGAGUGCGGGAAGGGAGAGUAGAAUUCCUGGUGUAGCGGUGAAAUGCGUAGAUAUCAGGAGGAAUACCGGUGGUGUAGACGGCUCUCUGGACCGCGACUGACGCUGAGACACGAAAGCAUGGGUAGCAAACAGG